AUCAAGACUCUAUUAGUCUUAUGGGGUCCUAUUUACAAUGCCCUUGUGCUAUGGAAAUUAAUUAAGAUCGCAGUAUACACUGGAAAUGCAAAAAAAAAAAAAAAAAAAAAAAAAGCUAGCAGUUUAGACACUUCUAAAUGUAAAGUUGAACAAGAUUACGAAAAGGUAUCGCCAGUCAUCAAAGUUUAAGCGGGACAUUGUUUGCACAUACAUAUGUAUUUUACUAUUUGUAUAUCUUAGGUGCAAGAGUAAACAGACAUUUUUGCAUGUACAUGUGUACUUUUCUAUUUUUAUAUCUUAGGUGCAAGAGUAAACAGAAAAAUGCUGAUAAGCAAUCUCAAUCCAAAUACUGAAAAGAAAAAUGCUGAUAACAAGAUUUCGAUGAACCCCAUACAAGAUAUGGGAUAGAGGCAUAAUGUAGAACUUAGAAGAAAGAAAUAAGAAUCUCUCAAAGAAGAUGAGAAGAUAGGGUUAGGAACCUAGACGAACGUGAAGCUUGGAAUCCACCAAGUAAAAAGAAGGAAUAGAUGAAUAAUCUAGCAAGAAAACAAGGAUAACUCAAGAAACAAUUCUUCUAUUUAAUUCAAUAAUAAUCAACCUCUAACUAUUACAAUAACCUAGAGCCUUUUUUAUAGAGCAAGAAGUUUGUUUAUCAAGUAAAGGACUUCUAAAUUAAAACAACUACUAAAUACAUAAUGAUUCCUAAUAUAAUAUACUUAGACCUAAAACAAUAUAUUCUAGAACCUAUUUCAUAUUUAGAAUUAAAAUAGUAACUCCUAACAUGUCCUACAUCAAGGCAUCAGGAAGUACUCUACUGUGAGUCAUCCGAAAAAGGACCAUAAGGAGACUUACAUGCUUAUGUUCAAAUGAGAAACAAAUUAUGCUGGUGUCUAAGGGAGAUCCUAAAGGCAGCUACAAGUAAUACAAUAUGAAUAGUAAUAUAAUAAUCGUACCUCCAAAGAAAAAUUAUAUAAUCAUCUUCCUAAAGAGCUAAAUAGGAUGACCUACUUUUUGGCCAAUAAAAGAAAAAUCACGAUAUUAGUUAAAGACAUAUUGUCUACAAUUAAGAUUGCCAAUAAGAUUCAGAUUUAUGGCAGAAAAAGAAAAAAAAACACAGACAAUGCAAUGUAUAGUUUCAUAGAAAUUGAACGAGAAUAAACGUUAUAAGUCUUCUAAAACUGUGUGUGUUCUAAAAACCAGUGUCUU
RNAcentral lists this long non-coding RNA (1206 nucleotides) under Aquilegia coerulea. RNAcentral describes it as "long non-coding RNA (ACOE_LNC000193)". Lineage: Eukaryota; Viridiplantae; Streptophyta; Magnoliopsida; Ranunculales; Ranunculaceae. The record is from RNAcentral.